RNAcentral lists this ribosomal RNA (397 nucleotides) under beta proteobacterium wo38. Its description in RNAcentral is "bacterial SSU rRNA". It matches the Rfam family "Bacterial small subunit ribosomal RNA", at positions 414 to 802 of the family's 1533-position model. The record is from RNAcentral. Lineage: Bacteria; Pseudomonadati; Pseudomonadota; Betaproteobacteria.
GCCUUCGGGUUGUAAAGCUCUUUCGCAAGGGAAGAAAACUUAUGAUCGAAUAAAUCAUGAGGUUGACGGUACCUUGAUAAGAAGCACCGGCUAACUACGUGCCAGCAGCCGCGGUAAUACGUAGGGUGCGAGCGUUAAUCGGAAUUACUGGGCGUAAAGCGUGCGCAGGCGGUUUUGUAAGUCGGAUGUGAAAUCCCCGGGCUCAACCUGGGAACUGCGUUCGAAACUGCAAGGCUAGAGUGUGUCAGAGGGGGGUAGAAUUCCACGUGUAGCAGUGAAAUGCGUAGAGAUGUGGAGGAAUACCAAUGGCGAAGGCAGCCCCCUGGGAUAACACUGACGCUCAUGCACGAAAGCGUGGGGAGCAAACAGGCAUUAGAUACCCUGGUAGUCCACGCCC